RNAcentral lists this ribosomal RNA (253 nucleotides) under uncultured bacterium. RNAcentral's name for it is "partial 16S ribosomal RNA". It matches the Rfam family "Bacterial small subunit ribosomal RNA", at positions 524 to 776 of the family's 1533-position model. The record is from RNAcentral.
UACGGGGGGGGCAAGCGUUGUUCGGAAUUACUGGGCGUAAAGGGUCUGUAGGUGGCUUGCUAAGUCAGACGUGAAAUCCCUCGGCUUAACCGGGGAACUGCGUCUGAUACUGGCGAGCUUGAGUGCAGGAGAGGAACGCGGAAUUCCAGGUGUAGCGGUGAAAUGCGUAGAUAUCUGGAGGAACACCGGUGGCGAAGGCGGGUCUCUGGGCCGAAACUGACGCUGAGGAGCGAAAGCGUGGGGAGCGAACAGG